GGCCCGUUGGUCAAGCGGUUAAGACACCGCCCUUUCACGGCGGUAACACGGGUUCGAAUCCCGUAAGGGUCA
RNAcentral lists this transfer RNA (72 nucleotides) under Listeria monocytogenes. RNAcentral's name for it is "tRNA-Glu". It matches the Rfam family "tRNA". From Rfam's summary of the family: Transfer RNA (tRNA) molecules are approximately 80 nucleotides in length. Lineage: Bacteria; Bacillati; Bacillota; Bacilli; Caryophanales; Listeriaceae. The record is from RNAcentral.